Molecule: long non-coding RNA, 760 nt
Organism: Octopus sinensis (East Asian common octopus)
Lineage: Eukaryota; Metazoa; Mollusca; Cephalopoda; Octopoda; Octopodidae
Exons: 2
Source: RefSeq, a predicted model, not a curated record
GUUCUUUUAAUCUUUUCUUACUACGAGUUACAUCAAUAGUAUUCAUACGACUGUAGUCUACAUUUGGCACAGGAUAUUUUAACCUCUGCUUAUAUCCAGCUCUACUUAAUGCCAUGCGUUUUUGUUGAAAUUUUUUUCACUACAUAAUAAAUUUGAUAUUUCUCCAGAUAUAUAUUUUCAAAUUAAUUUUGUUAAAAAUUUCAAAAUUAGGUAUAUAAGAGUUGUUCCCCUUGAAAACUUAACUCAUUCAGUGACAUCUUUUUGAGUUGCGCCGACGGUGGUUUUUUUCUUGUAACAGUCACGAUGGCAGAUGACGAGAGGCAGAGGUAAAUCGGAUAAACUUUCAUCCGAUGCUACCGAGAAUCUGCGAGUUUUGAAUGGCCACACAAGUCAGUGAAUGCAAAAUCGACAGAUUCUUGCCUCAACAGACGACAUAAAGACACGUAAAGUAAUUCUGAAGAAUAUUUUUUUCUCAAUUUCGCCCAUUCUGUCCACCCAUAUUUAUCACUGGACGCAAAUUUUCUGAAGAUGGAUCUUCACUUUUCGCCACUUGUUUGAAACAAAGAGUAAAUUACACAGGAAAUGAAUGAACAGUCUGCUUUUUUUUUAAAGUAUAAAGUGUAAAGCUUUGGAUAAACGGUGGACUGGAAAAGAAUUGGGAAUUUUGUCUCCUCGAUUUUCCGUAUCAUUACAGUGUAAAAAAGUCUUAGAAUCUAUGUUCUCUGUAUAUUACUGGCAUAAAUUUGCACCUUCACAGUAA